AUUUACAGGAUUUGAGUGAAGAAAACAUCAGUUUGUCUGAAAGCACCAAAUUUGGUGUUUAUGUUGAUGAAACAGUCCACGAGCUGAGAAGGUUUUCUGUCCUGUUUAAGGAGAAUAAAUUCUCUGAUCAU
Long non-coding RNA from Thalassophryne amazonica, 131 nucleotides. RefSeq lists it as uncharacterized. The transcript is spliced from 3 exons. Lineage: Eukaryota; Metazoa; Chordata; Actinopteri; Batrachoidiformes; Batrachoididae. The record is from RefSeq and is a predicted model, not a curated record.